Molecule: ribosomal RNA, 594 nt
Filed under: uncultured bacterium
Lineage: Bacteria
Description: bacterial LSU rRNA
Rfam family: Bacterial large subunit ribosomal RNA
Source: RNAcentral
UAGGUGUACGAGGCAACCUGGGGAACUGAAACAUCUAAGUACCCAGAGGAAAGGAAAGCAAUAUGCGACUCCGUAAGUAGCGGCGAGCGAAAGCGGAUAGAUGUGAGACCUGUGAACACGUUGGAAUGCGUGACCGAAGACGGUGAAAGUCCGGUAGCGGGAGGUAGCAUCAUAGCUCUAGAGUAGGCUCGGGCUCGUGGAACCCGGGUUGAAUAUGGGAGGUCCACCUUCCAAGGCUAAGUACUCCUUGACGACCGAUAGCGAAGAAGUAAAGUGAUUGAAAGUUUAAAAGUACCCCUAUUAGGGGGGUGAAAUAGUUCCUGAAACCGUGUGCCUACAAGCGGUCGGAGCCCUCAGGGGUGACGGCGUGCUUUUUGCAUAAUGAGCCCGCGAGUUAGUCUCAGUGGCGAGCUUAAGGCCUACCGGGCCGGAGGCGGAGCGAAAGCGAGUCUGAAUAGGGCGUAUAGUCGCUGGGGCUAGACACGAAACCCGUGUGAUCUACCCAUGGUCAGGGUGAAGGUGGGGUAAAACCCGCUGGAGGCCCGAACCCGUCAUCGUUGAAAAGAUGUGGGAUGAACUGUGGGGAGGGGUCAA